Long non-coding RNA from Corvus hawaiiensis (hawaiian crow), 1417 nucleotides. RefSeq lists it as uncharacterized. The record is from RefSeq and is a predicted model, not a curated record. NCBI's taxonomy places the organism in Eukaryota, Metazoa, Chordata, Aves, Passeriformes, Corvidae. The transcript has 2 exons.
UUCCCUUUCCCUUCACAUUCCCUUUCUCUUUCUCUUUUCCAUCUCUUUUUUUCCCUGAUUCCUGAAUUUUUUUUGCCCCAGAAUCCACAGCCCAAGCCACGUGCACACACUGCAGAUGUGAAGUGAAUUUUUACUGCCAGCAAGCACCUGGGAAUAAAAAAACCUCAGCCCCAAAGCUUGAUGUCUAAACAGCAACACAGAAGUUCUAAACCAGCUGUCUGGAUUUGAAAAGACAUAUGUCUUUGGAAGUUAACAUAGAGUUCAACUUGAUGUAGUGAUCGACUUAGGUUCAGCUUAAAAAAGGCCCUACUGACAUUUUAUUGUAUCUAAUCCCUGCUUUCCCCUGCGUUCUAGUUCUUGCCUCCCCGCCCACUCUGUUUCACGGGGCUGUACAUGGUGAAACACUUCCCUAUGUGCUUUCUGGGUUUGAGCUGCCCUGCCCCGGCACGUAGGGUCACGGUUAAGUAGAAGAGUUAUAAAACUUAGUGGUUCGUCUCUUUUUCAUGGGUUUUUGGGUAGAAAACUUACGGGCCCAGUGUGGGAAUAACUCCUAGCCCUCGGCGUCUCGUUGACCGCCUCCCGUUGUCUCGCAGGUCCCCGAGGCGGCUUCGGAUCUCCGCGGUCACCGACACUGCCAGUUUUCCCGGCGCGCGCCGUUCGACGUCGAGGAGCGGCAUCCAGAAGCUGUGUCGGAGCAUCUUCCUGGCUGGAAUGUUUUGAGUAAGGGCUGCAGUCAGGGUGUAAGCUGAAGGGUGUGUGACUGUGUGUGUGUGACUGUGUCUGUCUGCCUGCGAGAAGAGUGCGGGUGUGGAAUGGUUCUGACCUUGUGUGUGUGAGUUUUGCCUUUCAGGCUUUUCAGCUACUUUUUAAACUUAGAGUAAAAACAACCCAGCUGCGCUGUCUGGGGAUUUUCUCCCUCCCGGCUGGGUUUUUUUAUCUGAGACCCAGCCGGUCUGUGAGGUGACGUUCAUCGCCAGGGUUUGGGUGCCGACCGUGCCGGGGAUUUGUCAGGCGGGAUGAUUUUGGGGCUCCCGGGAACCGCGUUCCCAUGGGGUGCUCUCGAGACGAGAGCGAGGGUGGGUUUGUGUGUCAGCUGAAGGAGGUGUGUGGUGGAUGAGUGUUUUCUUCUCCCUGUGCUGCUGUUGUUUUGGGUUUCCUGAAACAAUAAAAUGUAAUUAAUUUUCCAGAAAUAGAACAAUUGUUACAUUGUACUGAUAGGGGGUUGGCUUGUGUUGCUCUGUGUUCGUGUUUGCUGCUGCACUUGCACAUAUUGCUCUGUAUGUCAAUUGGACUUUGACCAGUGUGCAUAUGGAUUGUAUUUGUGCUUGUGCUUGUGUGUUGUUAUUUCCACUUGCUUUGCUGAAGUGUAAAUAAAAAGCCCUCGUUCAAUAAAGUUGAAUAAACCCUAAUAAAGAUA